This 770-nucleotide long non-coding RNA is filed under the name Nicotiana benthamiana. RNAcentral's name for it is "long non-coding RNA (NBEN_LNC023407)". The record is from RNAcentral. Lineage: Eukaryota; Viridiplantae; Streptophyta; Magnoliopsida; Solanales; Solanaceae.
AAAGCAAGGUGCACCUUGAAUUGAACUCGACGAAUUGCGUUUUGCCAGAGAGAUUUUUUUAGAAAGAUUCUCCAUUGGUAAUUCAAAAAUAGAAAGAAUAUAAAUAAAGGCGCAUACGCGGGAAGGGGCCCCCACUACUUCUUCAUUCAGGGGGGAGGGGGGGAGACUAGCCUCAUUACUUCCCACUGGGCGAGAGGUGCACCUAACCCACCUACCCACUCAUCAAUCACGGUGUUCAGCUGACUUGCACUGAUAGACCCCUAUUGUAUUGGAAUUAGGCGCCCAUCUUUUUUCGUUGGGAUUGGAUAUAGAUGGGAAAUCUAUAGAUCGUAGUAGUUUGCCAACCUCUCUAACUAACAUACGAUACAAUUUCACUUCACGGCACGGCCAAAAAAAAAAGAAAGAGUUUGGGGCUCCGCACACUGGGAAAAGGCUGACGCGACGGGACAACAGCCACUAGUUACAAAGCUCCAAUAAGGUAUCGAGAGGGCUAUCACAGUCAGGUGCGAAUUGAUUACCCCAAUUUGUAAACUACCCCUCUUCCUAUUUAGGGAGUUGAGGCGAAAAAUGGCUUGAUGAACCGUUCGCCACGCACCGGCCACAUUCACUUGCUUAUCGUAGAGGCUGUAAGUACACAGUGCCCCACAAGUAGGCUGCUUUUUCCGGAACGCAGUCCGAGAUAACCGUAACCGUGUAUAUAUAGAAAUAUAUCUUCGAUGCUGUCAUUUCGAAAUGUCCGCUUCAACCGCUGUUUCACCUCCCAAAGAGCA